This 62-nucleotide transfer RNA is filed under the name Ictidomys tridecemlineatus (thirteen-lined ground squirrel). Its description in RNAcentral is "Spermophilus tridecemlineatus (thirteen-lined ground squirrel) tRNA". It matches the Rfam family "tRNA", at positions 5 to 66 of the family's 71-position model. Rfam says of the family: Transfer RNA (tRNA) molecules are approximately 80 nucleotides in length. Their secondary structure includes four short double-helical elements and three loops (D, anti-codon, and T loops). Further hydrogen bonds mediate the characteristic L-shaped molecular structure. tRNAs have two regions of fundamental functional importance: the anti-codon, which is responsible for specific mRNA codon recognition, and the 3' end, to which the tRNAs corresponding amino acid is attached (by aminoacyl-tRNA synthetases). tRNAs cope with the degeneracy of the genetic code in two manners: having more than one tRNA (with a specific anti-codon) for a particular amino acid; and 'wobble' base-pairing, i.e. permitting non-standard base-pairing at the 3rd anti-codon position. The record is from Rfam by way of RNAcentral. Lineage: Eukaryota; Metazoa; Chordata; Mammalia; Rodentia; Sciuridae.
AUGUAGCUCAUUGGUAGAGCAUUUUCCUACCAAGUGGAGGCCCUGGGUUCAAACCCUAGCAU